This 231-nucleotide unclassified non-coding RNA is filed under the name Hevea brasiliensis (rubber tree). Lineage: Eukaryota; Viridiplantae; Streptophyta; Magnoliopsida; Malpighiales; Euphorbiaceae. The record is from RNAcentral.
UAGAUUUUCGACAGCGCCUUCAUGUCGCCGCUGCGUGCGGCUUCGCGGCCAUCCUUCGGCGUGCCGAGGCCCCGCAGAUGGAUGUAGGAGAUGCCGCGUUCAUCGAGUCCCGCGGCAANGGCAAGCUGGGUCUUCGAGAAGCCGGGACGGCGCGAUGAUGCGAUCGCCCGCACGUCGACGAGGAGCUUCACGCCUGCAUGCUGCAAUUCAUCAAGGACGGCCUUCGGCGGC